RNAcentral lists this ribosomal RNA (395 nucleotides) under uncultured bacterium. RNAcentral's name for it is "partial 16S ribosomal RNA". It matches the Rfam family "Bacterial small subunit ribosomal RNA", at positions 338 to 730 of the family's 1533-position model. The record is from RNAcentral.
CCUACGGGAGGCAGCAGUGAGGAAUAUUGGUCAAUGGGCGGAAGCCUGAACCAGCCAAGUCGCGUGAAGGACGAAGGUGCUAAGCAUCGUAAACUUCUUUUGUAAAGGGAUAAAAUCAGGGACGAGAGCCUCACCGAAGGUACUUGAUGAAUAAGGAUCGGCUAACUCCGUGCCAGCAGCCGCGGUAAUACGGAGGAUCCGAGCGUUAUCCGGAUUUAUUGGGUUUAAAGGGUGCGUAGGCGGCAUUUUAAGUCAGCGGGGAAAGCCUGUGGCUCAACCCUCGACAAGCCGUUGAAACUGGGUGGCGUGAGAUGUCUAGAGGUAUGCGGAAUGCGCGGUGUAGCGGUGAAAUGCUUAGAUAUUACGCAGAACCCCGAUUGCGAAGGCAGCCUACC